GGCUGGUCACAGAAGUAGCUGAACCAGUGCUUCUGAUGGAAAUACCAGACUCACUGAUAUCGGUGUCGUUUUCUAAUGGUGCAGGAACAGGAGACUCCAGUCUGAUAUCAUCUUGGUCGUGACGUGUGUGAUUGGCAGCCAAACUAGCCCACUGUGAUACCCAACGUUUACUUCCCGGGGCAGUAGAACCUUCCUAAGGGAGAAAAAAAGUAGAAGAAAGAUGACAACUGCUUGAUAAAAUCAUGCUCUCAUUCCAAGUUUUCCUGGAAUAGAAAUGUCAGACACUAUCUUCCUGGAGGAAACUGAAAAAGGAGUUUACUUCAAUAUAUUUUAGAUUUACCAUUUCUAGAACAGCAACAUAAAUGACUCUGUGUACGGCUGCAAAAUCAAUAUAGAAUAAACAGCAUUUCCUCACGCUAUGAAAUCAUAAACAUCAGGCCCCAUAGAAAAUAUAUUAGAACACGUG
RNAcentral lists this long non-coding RNA (466 nucleotides) under Gallus gallus (chicken). Lineage: Eukaryota; Metazoa; Chordata; Aves; Galliformes; Phasianidae. The record is from RNAcentral.